GACGAACGCUGGCGGCGUGCUUAACACAUGCAAGUCGAACGAAGAGCGAUGGAAGCUUGCUUCUAUCAAUCUUAGUGGCGAACGGGUGAGUAACGCGUAAUCAACCUGCCCUUCAGAGGGGGACAACAGUUGGAAACGACUGCUAAUACCGCAUACGAUCUAACCUCGGCAUCGAGGAAAGAUGAAAGGUGGCCUCUAUGUAUAAGCUAUCACUGAAGGAGGGGAUUGCGUCUGAUUAGCUAGUUGGAGGGGUAACGGCCCACCAAGGCGAUGAUCAGUAGCCGGUCUGAGAGGAUGAACGGCCACAUUGGGACUGAGACACGGCCCAGACUCCUACGGGAGGCAGCAGUGGGGAAUCUUCCGCAAUGGACGAAAGUCUGACGGAGCAACGCCGCGUGAGGGAUGACAGCCUUCGGGUUGUAAAGCUCUGUUAAUCGGGACGAAAGGCCUUCUUGCGAAUAGUGAGAAGGAUUGACGGUACCGGAAUAGAAAGCCACGGCUAACUACGUG
RNAcentral lists this ribosomal RNA (510 nucleotides) under uncultured bacterium. RNAcentral describes it as "partial 16S ribosomal RNA". It matches the Rfam family "Bacterial small subunit ribosomal RNA", at positions 28 to 507 of the family's 1533-position model. The record is from RNAcentral.